GACGAACGCUGGCGGCGUGCCUAAUACAUGCAAGUAGAACGCUGAAGCGAGGAGCUUGCUCUUCUUGGAUGAGUUGCGAACGGGUGAGUAACGCGUAGGUAACCUGCCUUGUAGCGGGGGAUAACUAUUGGAAACGAUAGCUAAUACCGCAUAACAAUGGAUGACACAUGUCAUUUAUUUGAAAGGGGCAAUUGCUCCACUACAAGAUGGACCUGCGUUGUAUUAGCUAGUAGGUGAGGUAAUGGCUCACCUAGGCGACGAUACAUAGCCGACCUGAGAGGGUGAUCGGCCACACUGGGACUGGGACACGGCCCAGACUCCUACGGGAGGCAGCAGUAGGGAAUCUUCGGCAAUGGGGGCAACCCUGACCGAGCAACGCCGCGUGAGUGAAGAAGGUUUUCGGAUCGUAAAGCUCUGUUGUAAGUCAAGAACGGGUGUGAGAGUGGAAAGUUCACACUGUGACGGUAGCUUACCAGAAAGGGACGGCUAACUACGUG
RNAcentral lists this ribosomal RNA (497 nucleotides) under uncultured bacterium. Its description in RNAcentral is "partial 16S ribosomal RNA". It matches the Rfam family "Bacterial small subunit ribosomal RNA", at positions 28 to 507 of the family's 1533-position model. The record is from RNAcentral.